RNAcentral lists this long non-coding RNA (228 nucleotides) under Brassica rapa (field mustard). RNAcentral's name for it is "long non-coding RNA (BRAP_LNC001314)". The record is from RNAcentral. Lineage: Eukaryota; Viridiplantae; Streptophyta; Magnoliopsida; Brassicales; Brassicaceae.
UAAUAAUUUAAUAGUUUAAAUCUAAAAUCAAUAUGAAAAGAACUUUUAAACUUUAUUCCUAAAGAUGUCAAACAGGUCGGUUUGUUCUGUCCCGUCCUGUACCGUCGCGGACUCUUUAUCGCCGGUCAAGGCAAGCCUGUCUCGUGCGGGCUCUUUAUCUCGCGGGUCAAGGCGGGCUUGUCUCACGCGGACUGCGGUCUCCAAAAGGUCGGCCCGGGGCCGCCCAAG